AGCAGAGUGACGCAGUGGAAGUGUGCUGGGCCCAUAACCCAGAGGUCGUUGGGUCAAAACCAUCCUCUGCUA
Molecule: non-coding RNA, 72 nt
Organism: Xenopus tropicalis (tropical clawed frog)
Lineage: Eukaryota; Metazoa; Chordata; Amphibia; Anura; Pipidae
Source: Rfam